RNAcentral lists this long non-coding RNA (498 nucleotides) under Cricetulus griseus (Chinese hamster). RNAcentral describes it as "lncRNA (ENSCGRG00000024708.1)". Lineage: Eukaryota; Metazoa; Chordata; Mammalia; Rodentia; Cricetidae. The record is from RNAcentral.
CCUGAGUAUAUAAGCUAGCCUGAGAAAAAGGUAAAGUUUGCCACUUGAUCAGAAUCCUGUCUUGUGGUCGUUCUUUCUGCGUCUCUUGUCCCCAUUCCCUAUCCCUGACUCUCUUGCCCCAGGUUGACGUCCUGUAGGUUGGGACAACUGGCGCCUAAUAUGGGGCUGGAUAGAGUUGGGGAUCUGGGAACUUCAAUGCUCAUUAGAGGGACGGGCCUGUCCAUGCAGGGAGGCAUCCACGACAAGGUCGAUUGUGAGCCUCGGUUGGAGGAAAACCCAGCAGCCUGCCCAGCACUUGGGACUUUCGGUUCAUGAGCACCACCUACGUGGAAAAGUAUAGAGCAGAAGACUUGGGGGAAGGAGGGAUUUGCAGUGGAAGAGAGUAUGUGAAGAUUAUGGGCAGUGGUGGCACACCACUUUACUCCCAGUUUUUGGGAGGCAGAGGUAGGUGGAUCUCUGUGAGAGCGAGGCCAGCCUGGUCUACAGAGUGAGUUCCAG